ACACUUCCGGCUAAGUACGGGCGUAAUAAUGGUGAUUAAAACUGUUCACCGUUCCUUUGAGUUCCUCGUAGAUUCUGGAUAUUAGUCCUUUGUUGGAGGUAUAGAUUGUGAAGAUUUUCUCCAAUUCAUCGCCGUUUUUUAGAGUUUUUCUCACUAAAUAUUGACUAACGGAACCUAGCCCUGUAAUGUUGAUAGUCGGGCGGGUCGGAAGUGGCUGAGGUGGAGUAUCUGCAGGAGAAGAACUGAGGCUCCUAAGUGCAGCAUCUUGUCCAAGAGGUUUCGUCCCAAUGCGUGGGGAACAUCCGGAUUGUGAUGUUUAGCUCUCAGUUUCUAACUUGGGCAUUCUAGCAACUGUAUUUCUCAUUUAAUGUUUUAUGGGCACACAUGCAGAGGAGUUUUCGUCACUGAAAAGCCCGACAACUUCCCCUGCCAACCCAUUGGAAUUAAAAAAACCUCGAUAACCUCUUAAACACAUGGAAAUGGAACCCUGAGCAGAGGUAAAAGCCUAGCAGUGAUCACUCUUUUGGCGACUUGGAAAUCGGGGUGAGCUUUUAUCCGUUACCUGUGCCCUGUUGUUAGGGGUCGACUGCUGCUGUUCUUCCUUGGAAACUGGCUCCACUGCAUUUCGGGGCUGGGAUGUUGUUAAAGCAUUCACAGCCCUCAGAGCACAUGACGAGGGAGUUGGGAAAUGAAGCAAGCAGGACCUUCCACUUUGUAGCAGACUUAUUUCUGGAGAAACUGAUGGUUGGGGCCACAAAACGCUUUCAGUGUAGGCUCAUCAUGACUCAUUUGGACAUCCUAUUUUCUCUCCUUAUGUAUGAGAUUGUGGUGGGUAUCUGUACAGCCUAAGGACCUUGGGUGGACCUGGCCAGCAAUGGGACUGUUACUGAUGAU
Molecule: long non-coding RNA, 894 nt
Filed under: Homo sapiens (human)
Lineage: Eukaryota; Metazoa; Chordata; Mammalia; Primates; Hominidae
Description: non-protein coding lnc-ZNF516-4:4
Source: RNAcentral